AACCUGGCAGAGAUGCCGGGGUGCCUUCGGGAACCGUGACACAGGUGCUGCAUGGCUGUCGUCAGCUCGUGUCGUGAGAUGUUGGGUUAAGUCCGCAACGAGCGCAACCCUUGUCCCUAGUUGCCAUCAUUGAGUUGGGAACUCUAGGGAGACUGCCGGUGACAAACCGGAGGAAGGUGGGGAUGACGUCAAGUCCUCAUGGCCCUUACGGCCAGGGCUACACACGUACUACAAUGGUCGGUACAGAGGGUUGCGAUACCGCGAGGUGGAGCCAAUCCCAGAAAGCCGAUCCCAGUCCGGAUCGGAGUCUGCAACUCGACUCCGUGAAGUCGGAAUCGCUAGUAAUCGCGAAUCAGCCAUGUCGCGGUGAAUACGUUCCCGGGCCUUGUACACACCGCCCGUCACACCAUGGGAGUGGGCUGCUCCAGAAGCCGUUAGCCUAACCGCAAGGAGGGCGACGACCACGGAGUGGUUCAUGACUGGGGUGAAGUCGUAACAAGGUAGGCGUAGUGCU
This 514-nucleotide ribosomal RNA is filed under the name uncultured bacterium. Its description in RNAcentral is "bacterial SSU rRNA". It matches the Rfam family "Bacterial small subunit ribosomal RNA", at positions 994 to 1509 of the family's 1533-position model. The record is from RNAcentral.